This 168-nucleotide microRNA precursor is filed under the name Oryza brachyantha (malo sina). Its description in RNAcentral is "MIR812 microRNA precursor family". It matches the Rfam family "MIR812 microRNA precursor family", at positions 27 to 190 of the family's 205-position model. The record is from Rfam by way of RNAcentral. Lineage: Eukaryota; Viridiplantae; Streptophyta; Magnoliopsida; Poales; Poaceae.
UAUAAUAUUUUGACUCUUCGUAUUAUUUUAAUUUUUUUUAUGUUUAAUAUUUUUUAUUCUUGCUAGAUGAUAAAACAUGAAUAAUACUUUAUACGUGACUAAUUUUUUUAAGUUUUUGUACAAAUUUUUCAAAUGAGACGAAUGAUCAAACGUUAGACACGUAAAAAC